Molecule: long non-coding RNA, 261 nt
Filed under: Elaeis guineensis (African oil palm)
Lineage: Eukaryota; Viridiplantae; Streptophyta; Magnoliopsida; Arecales; Arecaceae
Description: long non-coding RNA (EGUI_LNC011423)
Source: RNAcentral
GUGUACGAGCCAGCUCACAUGCUCCCCACAUGGCUCAUAAAUCCGGCAUCUCUUUGUUUAGGUCGUCGCCUUCGCUUGGCAUGGUCCUCGUGGUAAAGUAAGUGGCCUUUUGUAUUUUAGAAAACAUUGAGUAGGUGGUUUUUAAUGUGGGCAUACACUCUAAUGUGAUAUAUGACAAAGUGGGAGAAAGAAGGUCAUCAUCUCACAUCCUAAUCGUAUCACAAAACCAUUGAAUACUUAAGGGAUCUUGCGGGGGGGAAA